AUGUUUAUCACUGCACAUGCAAUGGGUCAACAGUUAGCAGUUCCUACACCUAUUGUGAUAAUCCAUAUAAAUGGAAAAAGGGCUAUAGCUUUGUUGGAUUCUAGAAGCUCUUCCUCCUUCAUUAAUCAGGAAUUUGCUGUGAAAGCUGGCUGUCACUUAAUCCCAGUCAAACCUAGAGCAAUGGUUGUGGCUGGAGGGGGUAAAUUAACAUCUGAUGUUGUUGUUCCAAACUAUGUCUUUCAGUUGGCAAAAACCACAUUAACACACAGUUUCAGAACUCUGACACUUCCCAGUCAUGAUGUGAUACUAGGAUAUGAUUGGUUCACACUCAUGAGCUCUGUCUCUUUCCACAUACCAGGUAACAAUUUCAGUUUCACCAUGGAAGGAAAGAGAACAGUAACUGCUGCCAUAUUCAAUACUCCUGACAAAGUUAAAGAAGUUACAGCGGAGAAAGUGGGAAAGUUAUUGGAUAAAGGAGCAGAGGGUUUUUUACUACAAAUGCAUAACAUUGUAAUGGAAGCACCUGCAGGGUUUACCACACCCCCUCAGUUACAGAAGUUACUGUUAGAGUAUGCUGACCUAUUUGAGGAGCCACAUACUCUCCCUCCACAUAGGGACUGUGAUCACACUAUUCCCUUACAACCUGGAGUUGAACCCCCUCAUUCCAGGCCCUAA
This 675-nucleotide ribosomal RNA is filed under the name Triticum aestivum (bread wheat). Its description in RNAcentral is "partial small subunit ribosomal RNA". The record is from RNAcentral. Lineage: Eukaryota; Viridiplantae; Streptophyta; Magnoliopsida; Poales; Poaceae.